CAAAUCAGACUUCAGUAAACCCCAACACGCAUGCGCUGCUCCUACUAGGACGUUCCCCUUUAAAACGUGAAGUACGCAUGCGCCACAUCCUUUCUUCCCAAGAGCGGAAGGAGCUGGUCACACAUUUUACACGUUGCAGUGUAACUUGAGGAGCCAGAUGAAGAUUGCUGCAGCCAUUGGAAGGGAUCAUGGCAUUUGCCACUGGAAAUGGGUGACAUGAGAAGUACAGAUGAAUAAAAACUGGUAAUUUUAACGUCUAAGGAUUACCACUAGAAAAAGGGUGCCCUGAGAAGUGCAGAUGAAGACCGGUUCAGGGAUUGCCACUGGAAAAGGGUGACAUGGGAAGUGCAGAUGAAUAACUGGUUCAAGGAUUGCCACUAAUGAAAUGGUGACCUGAGAACUGCAGAUAAAUGAAGAAUGUUAACUUAUUUUUGGUCUAAAGAUUACCACUAGAAAAAAAGGGAGACCAGAGAAGUGCAGAUAAAUUAAGUCUGGUUGCAUAGGUUUGCACAAAAUGCAAGAUCUGCUUGCGGGAUUCUUCCAACAUGAGGUCCCUCUGGUGCAAGGAGUCCAGGUCACGGAGAGCACAGGGAAACACCGCAUCGGGUGGAAAAACAAGCGCAGAGGCCCCUGAAUUUCCAAGACAAACUUUUUCAUUCCCAAACUCCGUAUCAUGCACCCACUGUAACAGGAGCUUGAUCCUAACAAUAAACUAGUAAUGAAGUGCUAAAAGGUAAAUGGGUUAUGAUCAAAUGUACAUUUUUAAUUUUGUAUUAAUUUGUUCAGACUUUAGAAGAAAAUUAUUUUGGGGAACUAACCAUGUUUUAGGGUGACUGAACUUUCACACAGCAGAACUGCAAUGACUGCAUCUUCCUCCAGAACUUGUGUUCUUAAACUGAGUUUAGCAUGAGCAUGGGCCAAAGCAAUCCUGCCAGAACCAAUAAACAAUGUAAUUUGUGCAUAAAUCAUUUUUGUAUGUUUGAUGUGUUGCAUAACCAAAGAGUUUUAUGUAAUUCCUAAAUAAACCUCUAAAUUUA
Cyprinus carpio (common carp) is the source of this 1037-nucleotide long non-coding RNA. RefSeq lists it as uncharacterized. The transcript has 7 exons. The record is from RefSeq and is a predicted model, not a curated record. Lineage: Eukaryota; Metazoa; Chordata; Actinopteri; Cypriniformes; Cyprinidae.